GACGAACGCUGGCGGCGUGCUUAACACAUGCAAGUCGAACGGAAAGGCCCUGCUUUUGUGGGGUGCUCGAGUGGCGAACGGGUGUGUAACACGUGAGUAACCUGCCCUUGACUUUGGGAUAACUUCAGGAAACUGGGGCUAAUACCGGAUAGGAGCUCCUGCUGCAUGGUGGGGGUUGGAAAGUUUCGGCGGUUGGGGAUGUACUCGCGGCUUAUCAGCUUGUUGGUGGGGUAGUGGCUUACCAAGGCUUUGACGGGUAGCCGGCCUGAGAGGGUGACCAGCCACAUUGGGACUGAGAUACGGCCCAGACUCCUACGGGAGGCAGUAGUGGAGAAUAUGGCACAAUGGGCGGAAGCCUGAUGCAGCAACGCCGCGUGCGGGAUGACGGCCUUCGGGUUGUAAACCGCUUUCGCCUGUGACGAAGCGUGAGUGACGGUAAUGGGUAAAGAAGCACCGGCUAACUACGUG
This 468-nucleotide ribosomal RNA is filed under the name uncultured bacterium. RNAcentral's name for it is "partial 16S ribosomal RNA". It matches the Rfam family "Bacterial small subunit ribosomal RNA", at positions 28 to 507 of the family's 1533-position model. The record is from RNAcentral.